AUUGAACGCUGGCGGCAUGCUUUACACAUGCAAGUCGAACGGUAACAGGUCUUUCGGGAUGCUGACGAGUGGCGAACGGGUGAGUAAUGUAUCGGAACGUGCCCAGUAGUGGGGGAUAACUACUCGAAAGAGUGGCUAAUACCGCAUGAGAUCUCUGGAUGAAAGCGGGGGACCGUAAGGCCUCGCGCUACUGGAGCGGCCGAUAUCAGAUUAGGUAGUUGGUAGGGUAAGAGCCUACCAAGCCAACGAUCUGUAGCUGGUCUGAGAGGACGACCAGCCACACUGGGACUGAGACACGGCCCAGACUCCUACGGGAGGCAGCAGUGGGGAAUUUUGGACAAUGGGCGCAAGCCUGAUCCAGCAAUGCCGCGUGCAGGACGAAGGCCUUCGGGUUGUAAACUGCUUUUGUACGGAACGAAAAGCUUCUGGUUAAUACCUGGGAGUCAUGACGGUACCGUAAGAAUAAGCACCGGCUAACUACGUG
RNAcentral lists this ribosomal RNA (484 nucleotides) under uncultured bacterium. RNAcentral's name for it is "bacterial SSU rRNA". It matches the Rfam family "Bacterial small subunit ribosomal RNA", at positions 30 to 507 of the family's 1533-position model. The record is from RNAcentral.